This 473-nucleotide ribosomal RNA is filed under the name uncultured bacterium. RNAcentral describes it as "partial 16S ribosomal RNA". It matches the Rfam family "Bacterial small subunit ribosomal RNA", at positions 36 to 538 of the family's 1533-position model. The record is from RNAcentral.
AGCGAACGCUGGCGGCAGGCCUAACACAUGCAAGUCGAACGAACUCUUCGGAGUUAGUGGCGGACGGGUGAGUAACACGUGGGAACGUGCCUUUUGGUUCGGAAUAACUCAGGGAAACUUGUGCUAAUACCGAAUGUGCCCUUCGGGGGAAAGAUUUAUCGCCAUUAGAGCGGCCCGCGUCUGAUUAGCUAGUUGGUGAGGUAACGGCUCACCAAGGCGACGAUCAGUAGCUGGUCUGAGAGGAUGACCAGCCACACUGGGACUGAGACACGGCCCAGACUCGUAGGGGAGGCAGAGGGGGGGAUUAGUGCGCAAGGGGCUAAAGACGGACGCAGCCGUGGCGCUUGAAUGAUAUAGUUUGAUGGAUUAAAAAAUUCUUUCGCCGGGGAAGAUAAGGACGCUGCCCGGAGAAGACGCCCCGGCCAACGUCGUCCCAGCAGCCGUGGUAAUAGACGAAAAGAAUCCGUCCAAAC